This 335-nucleotide ribosomal RNA is filed under the name uncultured bacterium. RNAcentral describes it as "partial 16S ribosomal RNA". It matches the Rfam family "Bacterial small subunit ribosomal RNA", at positions 338 to 665 of the family's 1533-position model. The record is from RNAcentral.
CCUACGGGAGGCAGCAGUGGGGAAUAUUGCGCAAUGGGCGAAAGCCUGACGCAGCGACGCCGCGUGAGGGAUGAAGGUCUUCGGAUCGUAAACCUCUGUCUGCAGGGACGAACGGUCACUGUGCUAAUCCGCAGUGAAUUGACGGUACCUGCAAAGGAAGCACCGGCUAACUCCGUGCCAGCAGCCGCGGUAAUACGGAGGGUGCGAGCGUUAAUCGGAAUUACUGGGCGUAAAGCGCUCGUAGGCGGUAUGUCAAGUCAAGGGUGAAAUCCGCGCGCUGAACGUGGGAACUGCCUUUGAAACUGGCAAGAUGGAGUGUGUGGGAGGAUAGUGGA